GGCAGAAGACUCCUGUGCGUUAUAGCAACCAUGUGAGAAGGUAUAGGCAAAUUAUUACCAGCAUGGGACAGUCUGGUGGAUCCUAAAGCCUGAUCUGACUAUCUGCCAGUUUCUUGGGAAGGAUUAGUAGGUCUGUCCACCUGGACAAAAUCCACACUCACUGGUGAUUCUCAACUGUAGCUCCAGAUUAGGGAAACAUGGUUGUAGGACAAAGAGAUUUAUAGACUUUUUGGUCACACUGGUUACAAAAUCUGUUUGUAGAUCUUGGGAAAAUUUUAUAACCUUCCUUGACCUCAGUUUUAUCACCUGUAAUAAAGGUUUAAUACCUCUAUUACAGGGUUGCAAAGUACCUUUCAAGCAGUGCUCAAUAAGUGGCAGCCCUUCCUUAUUUUUAUGAAUAUUCCCUUGACAAUGAGCUACUUUCCCCUAAAUAUCAAUAUUUCUGUGGUUGACAUGUGCCUCAAAGUUAAUAUAUUCUGUCAGUGGCCAAACAGAAGAGUUAGUUAUUAAAUUGUUAUGUUGACUGAGAUAUAUGAACUUGUCUACACAUGGAGGCUAUUUAAUCACUUGAUAAUUCAGUUGAAAGUUCAUAUUAAUAUCAUUACAGGGAGUUUGCAUUUUCAGCUUAAAUUUGGAUCCUAAUUAUUGGUUUAAAUGCCUUUAAAAAUACUGCAUUAUGAUGCAGCAUUAAAGUAAAAUACAUAAUUUGUCUCUGGAAGAAUAAUUUACACAUGUCAGGGAAUGCAAUGAAAGCAAAAAGAAACUCCAAAAUUUCUCAGAAUAGCUCAUAAGAAUCUUAGAGAAGUUGGGGUGACCAAUUUAUGUGUUUGAAGGAGUGUGGUUUUGGUGGCAAGCAGCUCUCUCUUAAGAACUUUUGGUUGACUUUCAAGGGAAGCUGACUAACUUUCAGGAUCCCUCCUUCAUUUUCAGAAAAGAACAAAGCUAUGAGCAUUAUGCAAAUGAAACAUCAAUAUUCUUCUUUAUGCCGAGAGAUAACACUAUUAGUCCCUGAGAUUUGAAAAGGCCACUAUCAUGGGUGUAGUAUAUGCAAAGUAUAUCCAAAACUUAGCUUCCAAACUUGAUUAGGCCACAGAAGAAAAAAUUUGGAUGAAUAUCAAUCAUUGUUAAGUCUAA
RNAcentral lists this long non-coding RNA (1134 nucleotides) under Capra hircus (goat). RNAcentral's name for it is "lncRNA (ENSCHIG00010021714.1)". Lineage: Eukaryota; Metazoa; Chordata; Mammalia; Artiodactyla; Bovidae. The record is from RNAcentral.